This 484-nucleotide ribosomal RNA is filed under the name uncultured bacterium. Its description in RNAcentral is "partial 16S ribosomal RNA". It matches the Rfam family "Bacterial small subunit ribosomal RNA", at positions 30 to 507 of the family's 1533-position model. The record is from RNAcentral.
AUUGAACGCUGGCGGCAGGCCUAACACAUGCAAGUCGAGCGGAUGAAGGGAGCUUGCUCCUGGAUUCAGCGGCGGACGGGUGAGUAAUGCCUAGGAAUCUGCCUGGUAGUGGGGGAUAACGUCCGGAAACGGGCGCUAAUACCGCAUACGUCCUGAGGGAGAAAGUGGGGGAUCUUCGGACCUCACGCUAUCAGACGAGCCUAUGUCGGAUUAGCUAGUUGGUGGGGUAAAGGCCUACCAAGGCGACGAUCCGUAACUGGUCUGAGAGGAUGAUCAGUCACACUGGAACUGAGACACGGUCCAGACUCCUACGGGAGGCAGCAGUGGGGAAUAUUGGACAAUGGGCGAAAGCCUGAUCCAGCCAUGCCGCGUGUGUGAAGAAGGUCUUCGGAUUGUAAAGCCCUUUAAGUUGGGAGGAAGGGCAGUAAGUUAAUACCUUGCUGUUUUGACGUUACCAACAGAAUAAGCACCGGCUAACUUCGUG